AAUCUCAAAUUAAAUGAUUAAUAUUCCCCAAAUUCCAAUUAACUACACUUCCGCUGUUACAGAGGGGAAACACUGUAAUCAUACUGUAAACUUUCAAAAGUUUAUAUAUUGUGCAUAGUUUGAAGUGAAAAAAAACUUUUCUUCAAUUGUGUUUGGGUUCAGGCUCUGUUUAGGAUCGGUAUCGGAAAAACCCAAACGAUACUCAUCCGUACCAGACAUGAGUCUGCACGCUCAACGUGAAGCUACAGCCAGCCGCUGGUUAGCUUAGCAUGAAGACUGGAGACAAGAGGGCUCGAAAGGGAUGUUUAAGAAUCCGGAUUCAACAGUUUACAAAUUUCCGACUUGAUGAAACAAUGGACAAAAAUCGUUCUUUAUUUAUUCUUAAAGUGUUUGCUUUCAAGAUCAAGAUGGGGUCAUAGAAAAAAACAAGUAGAGCAAAGUGUUUUAUGCACCAUGUCAAGUGGAUGAGCUCCAUCAAUACAAAUACACCGUCCACACACAUUUACUCUAAAGGCUCAUUUGCAUAUUGUAGAUACCUUCACUGUAACCAUAGAGACGUUACAUCAUGAUGGAACAUUUCUCCAUGUUCCAUGUUCCAUGUUCUAUGCUCCGUUCACCACAGCAUAAGAACACAGUCUGUUACACAUCCAGUCAGUCAGUUUCAAACCUCGCAUCUACACACUGAAGUUUUCCGGACCUACACUUGCAGAAAGCAACCAUGUAAUGCCUCAGGAGUCUGUAGAGGGGACGAAGACGCGUUCUGCUGCACUUAACAGAGCUCAAGGUAAGUGAGGAAUCCAGACAGACUGCAGCCUUACUGCUGUGAAUGAUGUAUGGUCUAUCGGGUGGAGAAGGCUGUGAUUUAGAGCUAAUACCUUGAGAUAAACCUCUGAUUCCUGCUGUUGUCAUGUAGAUGUACACAGAGACGCAUUAACAUAUAAAAGUUAUUUGAAGAAAAUUGCACUUCUGAGUUUGUACUCUAUGGGUGGAAUGCACUUAUUGUAAGUCGCUUUGGAUAAAAGCGUCAGCUAAAUGAAAUGUAAUGUAAUGUAAAAAGUACUUACACAGAGACGCCUAACAUAUUGGUAUGCACAGAGACUAGCUAAACAUAAAAAGCAAAUACAGAAAUACAGUUUAACAACCACAAAUAUAUAAUGUAGAUUUACACAUCCAUACAAACAUGAAAUAAUUAAAAUGUGCAUCAAAUUAAAAUAAUUGGAUCUAUGAAUCUUGUCUCACAUCCUGAUGAUCCUCCUCACGUCUCUUCUCCUUGUCUGCAGACCAACGGGACGCCAUCAGGACGCCAUCAGGACGCCACGUCAACGGGACGCCAUCAGGACGCCACGUCAACGGGACGCCAUCAGGACCUCACGUCAACCCCUCAGGAGCAAAUCCAGAUCUACGCAUGACACACACACACACACCCCCACACACACACACACAGAUGUACACACAGACACACUAACAUUUGGUUCUAAACAAAGACACACACUAACAUUUAGAUGUACACAAAGACACAUUAAUAUUUAGAUGUACACACAGACACACUAACAAUUAGAUGUACACACAGACACACUAUCAUUUGGUUCUAAACAAAGACACACACUAAUAUUUAGAUGUACACACAGACACACUAACAAUUAGAUGUACACACAGACACAUCCUGAUGAUCCUCCUCACGUCUCUUCUCCUUGUCUGCAGACCAACAGGACGCCAUCAGGACGCCAUCAGGACGCCACCAAAUCCAGAUCUACUCAUGACACACACACACACACACACACACACACACACACACACAGAUGUACUCACAGACACACUAACAUUUGGUUCUAAACAAAGACACACACUAAUAUUUAGAUGUACACAAAGACACAUUAAUAUUUAGAUGUACACACAGACACACUAACAAUUAGAUGUACACACAUACACACUAUCAUUUGGUUCUAAACAAAGACACACACUAAUAUUUAGAUGUACACAAAGACAUAUUAAUAUUUAGAUGUACAAACAGACACACUAACAUUUAGAUGUACACACAGACACACUAACAAUUAGAUGUACACACAGACACACUAACAUUUGGUUCUACACAAAGACACACACUGACAUUUAGAUGUACACAAAGACACAAUAACAAUUAGAUGUACACACAGACACAUUAGUAUUCAGAAUUACACAAAAACACACAAACAUCUGGUUCUGCACAAAAACACAUUAAUAUUUAAAUGUACCCACGGACCCACUAACAAUUAGAUCCACACACAGACACACUAACAAUUAGAUGUACACACGGACACAUCCUGAUGAUCCUCCUCACGUCUCUUCUCCUUGUCUGCAGACCAACAGGACGCCAUCAGGACGCCACGUCAUCGGGACGCUACGUCAUCGGGACACACUAACAAUUAGAUGUACACACAGACACACUAACAUUUGGUUCUAAACAAAGACACACUAACAUUUAGAUGUACAAAAAGACACACACUAAUAUUUAGAUGUACACAAAGACACACACUAAUAUUUAGAUGUACACAAAGACACACUAACAAUUAGAUGUACACACAGACACACUAACAACAUUAAUAUGUAAAUAACUUUUCUUCUUUUCUCUCUUCUCAGGAACUGCUUCAGAUGUUUUCCCAAUGAUUGUGUUAUUAUAAUUGUUAAAUAUGUCGUCUGUUUAUUAUUUUAACAAUGAAAAUAAAUUUUAAUAAAAAUAAAACCAAAUGAAUCCGUCUUGUUUUCUUCAGACCAAAGAGAAUCACAUGUUCUUUAUUACUCGUUGACUUGAAUGAAGUGAAACAACAAUGAUCUUGAGU
This is a long non-coding RNA of Gasterosteus aculeatus aculeatus (three-spined stickleback), 2816 nucleotides long. The record is from Ensembl. NCBI's taxonomy places the organism in Eukaryota, Metazoa, Chordata, Actinopteri, Perciformes, Gasterosteidae.